GUUGACAGAGUAGGAAUUUUUUCAAGGUUCGCAGUGUGGUCGGAAGGAUUGAUUUACAGCUAAAGAAAUGGCGUCUUCUAAAAUAACGUUAGUACAGGCUUUGAUUUGUGCGCUUUGUUGCCUACUUCUGUCACAUCUGACAAGUUCACAGGAUGAUGGCAAUGGUACAGUUACAUCGACCAAAAUACAAUCGACUUCCACAACAAAAACGACAACUGUGACCCCUAUGCCGACAAAGUCGACUACAUCCGGUGCUGGAAUGGCCUCAAUCUCAGCAACUCUUUUAAUCGGCGCAUCAUUGGUUGCAAUGAAGAAGCUACAUUAAUUUCCAAAAGCAGACGACAAAAUAUGAGCAGACGACACAAAGCAUAUAUUAGCAGACGACACCGAAUCUGCAGACAUUCAAGAAGAUAAUGAUACUCCGAUUUCAAUUUUAAAAGCAGUCAAUAAUACCAAUAUUUCUUAAAGUUUGGAUUAAGCAGUUUUAUUUUAUAUUUGAAAUAACAAACAAAUGAAGUUCGUCUGAAAAUAUACCUUAUCUCUUAUGAAGUUCAAUCAUAUAAAUUAUUAUAGUUUUCAUCACAUUAUAGUAUGAUAUUGUAUGGUCAUGUGUUUCAUGUUGGAAUAUCUCUAUAUUUAGUAACAUGCAUAUAAUUUUCUGAUUCAAUAAAACUUCAUACAAACAA
Molecule: long non-coding RNA, 686 nt
Organism: Ruditapes philippinarum (Manila clam)
Lineage: Eukaryota; Metazoa; Mollusca; Bivalvia; Venerida; Veneridae
Exons: 4
Source: RefSeq, a predicted model, not a curated record